CGGGUACAAUCAAGCUCCUCGACGUAUUAGGUCGCAAGCCUUUUUCCCCACUGACAGGAGUUUACAAUCCGAAAACCUUCAUCCUCCACGCGGCGUUGCUGCGUCAGGGUUUCCCCCAUUGCGCAAAAUUCCC
This 133-nucleotide ribosomal RNA is filed under the name uncultured bacterium. Its description in RNAcentral is "partial 16S ribosomal RNA". The record is from RNAcentral.